Molecule: ribosomal RNA, 795 nt
Filed under: uncultured bacterium
Lineage: Bacteria
Description: bacterial SSU rRNA
Rfam family: Bacterial small subunit ribosomal RNA
Source: RNAcentral
AGAGUUUGAUCCUGGCUCAGAGCGAACGUUAGCGGCGCGCUUAACACAUGCAAGUCGCACGAGAAAGGGCUUCGGCCCCGGUAAAGUGGCGCACGGGUGCGUAACACGUAGAUGAUCUACCCUUGAGCGGGGGAUAACGUUUCGAAAGGAACGCUAAUACCGCAUAACACCGGCAACGGUCAAAGCUGGCCUCUCCCUGGAAGCUAGCCCUUGAGGAUGAGUCUGCGGCCCAUCAGCUAGUUGGUAAGGUAACGGCUUACCAAGGCGAAGACGGGUAGCUGGUCUGAGAGGAUGAUCAGCCACACUGGAACUGAAACACGGUCCAGACUCCUACGGGAGGCAGCAGUGGGGAAUAUUGGACAAUGGGCGCAAGCCUGAUCCAGCGACGCCGCGUGAGUGACGAAGGCCUUCGGGUUGUAAAGCUCUGUUGAGGGAGAAGAAAAAAGCUGGGAGUAACUGCCUGGUUCUUGACGGUAUCCCUUUAGAAAGCACCGGCUAACUCUGUGCCAGCAGCCGCGGUAAGACAGAGGGUGCAAACGUUGCUCGGAAUUACUGGGCGUAAAGCGCGUGUAGGCGGGCCCCCAAGUCGGACGUGAAAGCCCCGAGCUCAACUCGGGAACUGCAUCCGAAACUGAGGGCCUUGAGUGAUGGAGAGGGAAGCAGAAUUCCUGGUGUAGAGGUGAAAUUCGUAGAUAUCAGGAGGAACACCGGUGGCGAAGGCGGCUUCCUGGACAUUGACGGACGCUGAGACGCGAAAGCGUGGGGAGCAAACAGGAUUAGAUACCCUGGUAGUCC